This 615-nucleotide long non-coding RNA is filed under the name Lotus japonicus. RNAcentral's name for it is "long non-coding RNA (LJAP_LNC002004)". Lineage: Eukaryota; Viridiplantae; Streptophyta; Magnoliopsida; Fabales; Fabaceae. The record is from RNAcentral.
CUGCAAUAAAAGUCCUAUGGGUCAGAGUUCAAUGUAAAGCAACUUAAAACUAAAACCUAGCAAAAAGAUCAAUUGCUUUAUAGUUGACAGUUUGGUGUGGGGGAAUUGCCGACUAUACUUGGAUUGAGUUUUUUUGGUGUUGAUGGGAAAGGAAGGCAUGGGAAUCCUCUGCGAGAUUAGCUUCAAGGUUAUCCCUGAGGAGGAUCUGUGCAAUAAAAUCAUAGAGCAGAGCAGUAUAUAAUGUCAGUUCGACAGCAUGAGAGAACUACUUCUUGAAUGUAUGAUUAACUUCUCAGUUCCCUAUGGUAUCCAUGACAAAAUCCAGAUUUCAAGAUGCAAUGUAGAGGUGCGUGGAGAAUGAAAAGAGAGAAACAUUAGAAUGUGUAAUUGUAGCAAGUGCAUUUGAUGCAUUAGGAUGAUCUCAUCCAACCAAACCAAAAACAUUUCUUCUAGUAUGCAAAGCAAGAGUAGUUGGCCUAAAAAGAAAUCAAAAUCAAUAGAGGUGAUUAUUUCUUCUAAUAUUUCUUCAGAUUUCAAUAUGCUUUCCUUAAACUUAAUGUGAAUAAAUAAAUCGAUAAGGCUCCCUCUCCUUCCUCCUAUCUUUUCUUUGGUUUU